GCCAUGGUAUCCUCAGAACCACAAAGAUCAUUAAAUGGGAAGUAGUGGAAGUUCAAAGCAAGCUGGACAGAGGCUGAGAGCUGCGGCUUCAUAAACCUUGUAAGAUAUGUUAAUUGAGACAAAAUGAAAGAGACAGGAGAAAAUGACCAUCCUAAGAACUCUGUGGCAGAGUAGUAAUUUGAAAUUGGCACCUUCUGGUUCUAGCCCAACAGUCUAAGCAUUAUCCCACACCGGCUCACUGAAGCAGGAAUGAAAUUAAGCCAACAUACAAAGCAAAUCUAUCUUUUUCUCCUUAAGAAUUUGAAAGGCUGGAAGAAAAACAAAAACAAAUUAUGAUACAUUUUUAUUUCAAAUAUCAAUAUUAUUCACCUUAUUACAAUAUUUUUUUAAUUACUUAAGAAAAAAAAUUGAAAUAAAUCUGUUUUUCUCAG
This is a long non-coding RNA of Pantherophis guttatus, 431 nucleotides long. RefSeq lists it as uncharacterized. NCBI's taxonomy places the organism in Eukaryota, Metazoa, Chordata, Lepidosauria, Squamata, Colubridae. The record is from RefSeq and is a predicted model, not a curated record.